UAGCUCACUGGUCGAGUGACUCUGCGCCGAAAAUUCAACGGGGCUAAAAUUCAUACCGAAGCUUGGGCUUGACAGUAAUGUCAGGGGUAGGGGAGCGUCGUAUACGAGGUGAAGUCAUAGCGGAAGCGGUGGUGGAUUGUAUACGAGUGAGAAUGCCGGAAUGAGUAGCGAGAAUUAUGUGAGAAUCAUAAUGGCCGAAAGUCUAAGGUUUCCUGAGGAAGGUUCGUCCUCUCAGGGUUAGCCGGGAGCUAAGGUGAGGCGGAAACGCGUAGCCGAUGCACAUACGGUAGAAAUUCCGUAGCCUCCGAAGAUUUAAGCACAGGGACACUUUUGAAGGGCUGAGCCGGGCGUUGGUUGCCCCGGUCGAAAGGGACACGAGUGAGUGGAAGUCAGUUUGGAAAGAGGCGAGAAAAGCUGUGUGUAUAUGGAAGGAGCCCGUACCGCAAACCGACACAGGUAGACAGGAAGAAGAUUCUAAGGCCAGCGGGAGAAGGGUUGUUAAGGAACUCGGCAAGUUGACCCCGUAACUUCGGGAGAAGGGGUGCUUACGAAGGUAAGCCGCAGAGAAUAGGCCCAAGCGACUGUUUAGCAAAAACACAGCUCUAUGCUAAAUCGAAAGAUGACGUAUAUGGGGUGACACCUGCCCGGUGCUGGAAGGUUAAGAGGAGAUGUGAGAGCAUUGAAUUGAAGCCCCAGUAAACGGCGGCCGUAACUAUAACGGUCCUAAGGUAGCGAAAUUCCUUGUCAGGUAAGUUCUGACCCGCACGAAUGGUGUAACGAUUUGGGCACUGUCUCAACAACCCACCCGGCGAAAUUGUAGUACCGGUGAAGAUGCCGGUUACCCGCGACUAGACGGAAAGACCCCAUGGAGCUUCACUGCAGCUUAAUAUUGGAUUUCGGUAUUUCAUGUACAGGAUAGGUGGGAGACUGGGAAAUACAGGCGUCAGCUUGUAUGGAGUCAUUGUUGGGAUACCACUCUUGAGGUGCUGGAAUUCUAACCUGUGGCCUUGAAUCAGGUCAGGGGACAUUGUUAGGCGGGCAGUUUGACUGGGGCGGUCGCCUCCUAAAAGGUAACGGAGGCGCUCAAAGGUUCGCUCAGCAUGGACGGAAACCAUGCCAGAGAGUGCAAACGCAUAAGCGAGCCUAACUGCGAGACUGACGGGUCGAGCA
Molecule: ribosomal RNA, 1170 nt
Filed under: human gut metagenome
Description: bacterial LSU rRNA
Rfam family: Bacterial large subunit ribosomal RNA
Source: RNAcentral